CGGACGUGAUGUCAAAGUGCCACCCUGACCCGCUGUGGAGGGAGAAAGACUGAUUUAAUGAGGCUGAUCC
RNAcentral lists this small nucleolar RNA (70 nucleotides) under Cariama cristata (Red-legged seriema). The record is from RNAcentral. Lineage: Eukaryota; Metazoa; Chordata; Aves; Cariamiformes; Cariamidae.